CAGUCGCCGCGGGAAUACAGAGGGUGCGAGCGUUAAUCGGAUUUACUGGGCGUAAAGCGUGCGUAGGCGGCUUCUUAAGUCGGAUGUGAAAUCCCUGAGCUUAACUUAGGAAUUGCAUUCGAUACUGGGAAGCUAGAGUAUGGGAGAGGAUGGUACAAUUCCAGGUGUAGCGGUGAAAUGCGUAGAGAUCUGGAGGAAUACCGAUGGCGAAGGCAGCCAUCUGGCCUAAUACUGACGCUGAGGUACGAAAGCAUGGGGAGCAAACAGGAUUAGAUACCCCAGUAGUCCCUGUCUCUUAUAC
Molecule: ribosomal RNA, 301 nt
Filed under: uncultured bacterium
Lineage: Bacteria
Description: partial 16S ribosomal RNA
Rfam family: Bacterial small subunit ribosomal RNA
Source: RNAcentral